This 314-nucleotide ribosomal RNA is filed under the name uncultured bacterium. RNAcentral's name for it is "bacterial SSU rRNA". It matches the Rfam family "Bacterial small subunit ribosomal RNA", at positions 28 to 334 of the family's 1533-position model. The record is from RNAcentral.
GAUGAACGCUAGCGGCAGGCCUAACACAUGCAAGUCGAGGGGCAGCGGGUAAGUAGCUUGCUACUUAUGCCGGCGACCGGCGGACGGGUGCGUAACGCGUAUGUAACCUACCUUUGACAGGGGGAUAACAUCGAGAAAUUGGUACUAAUACCCCAUAACAUCACCGGAGGCAUCUUCGGUGGUUGAAAACUCAGGUGGUCAGAGAUGGACAUGCGUUGUAUUAGCUAGUUGGUGAGGUAACGGCCCACCAAGGCGACGAUGCGUAGGGGUUCUGAGAGGAAGGUCCCCCACACUGGUACUGAGACACGGACCAG